This is a non-coding RNA of Armillaria nabsnona, 90 nucleotides long. The record is from the annotation of a GenBank genome assembly. NCBI's taxonomy places the organism in Eukaryota, Fungi, Basidiomycota, Agaricomycetes, Agaricales, Physalacriaceae.
UGACUCUUAGCUCAGUUGGUAGAACGCGUCACUAGUAUUCGAUCUGACCUUUUAAUGACGAGGUCAGUCCUUCAAGUCGGCUAGAGGGAG